CCUUGUUGGAGUGACGGGCGAUUUGUACACAAAAUCUUUAUAAUUAAAUCUUAGAUAUUAUCUUAAUAAUUUACUCUUAAGUUCUACUUAACUUUAAAUUUUAUAGAAUUGUUUUACAUUAGUGGAUCACAAUAUCUCUAAAAUAUACCCCCACCUUUAUUUGUAUUUUAUAAAAAAUUAUUACUACUGCCCUAAAUUUAAAGGAUGUUUUACAAUGGUAUGAGAGGGUAAAUUUAGAAUAGUUGAACGUGGGUUAUCGAAUUAAGUUUCAUGAACACCUAAUUAUGAAUUUUGCCGCCAUUAUAUAAUAGGUUUCUUUUAUUUAAAUACUUUCUAUUUUUAUCUUAGAA
RNAcentral lists this ribosomal RNA (350 nucleotides) under Abacarus bicolorus. Its description in RNAcentral is "partial small subunit ribosomal RNA". The record is from RNAcentral. Lineage: Eukaryota; Metazoa; Arthropoda; Arachnida; Trombidiformes; Eriophyidae.